UUGGUGAUGGUGCUGCUUCCGGUUUUGUGCGUCUUCAAAAAGACAACGUUCUUUUUUGGAGUACAUCUGCAGUGGAAAAUAAAGCAAUGAUUGAGAUAACAUGUGAUGGAAGCCACAUCGCAUGUCGAAGCAUCGGUCUGUAGUCACUCAUGGGCCACUUGAGCCAAGAGCCUCUUCAUCCGAGACUGUAAUGAAAUGACAGCGCGCAUUGUUCAGUCAUUUCCCGAAAGAAACUGUACAAAACAGAUACCUUCAUAAAGACAUUGCGCACUAUACAAGGAUUAUCAGACAGACAGUGCGCAAUGUGCAGACAUUACCCAACAGUUAUGAACAAUGUACAGAAAUUACCCAACAGUUAUGUACAAUGUACAGAAAUUACCCAACAGACAGUGCGAGCAAUACAGACAUUACUCAACAGACAGGGCGCACAUUACAGACAUUACCCGACAGACAGUGCGCGCUGUACAGACAUUACCCAACAGUUCUGUAUAAUGUACAGAAAUUACCCAACAAACAGUGCGCACUGUACAGACAUUACCCGACAGACAGUUGAUUGAUUUAGCUUGAUUUAUAUUGCAAAACCGAAAGCUAGACCUCAAUGCACCUAAGCUGACAGAUGCGAACAAGCAGAUUGGCAUAUUUGGUUAUCACGCCAGGGGUUUUCAUAGUGUUUUUUAUUGCAAUUAAUAAUCACCUUCAAAAUCAUCCAUAAAUUACACGCAAACUAACCCUUAUAGAAAAGCCAAAUAAAUCAGAUCAGAAAGACGUAUUGUUCAAACAGAACAGGAAGACGUAUUGUUCAAUGCAGCACACAGGUUGAUGACAACAAAGUGAUAAAAACAAGCAAAAGUCAGCGUGCGUCCACAAUGGGGUUAAAAAGGAGAACGGCGCGAGCUGGGUAAAACACAAUGACUCCAAAUGUUACCAUUGCGCAUGUGAUAGAGAUGUAGCACGCUGUGAUCUCGUCAAUUGUUACUGUCCCGAAGGAGAAGAACCUAGUCCUGAUGGACCACCCCCCGACAAAUGCUGUCCAGCUUGCGUUGUGAAGACUACUACGUCUACGCCUGUGUAUAUCAAGAUUUCCACUAGACGUCCAGCCCCAACAUGGCCCCCGUUCUGGGGCAGAAAAUGAUGCAUAGAAUGAAUGUGCGAAGGUGUAGCAUUAGAAAUGCUUCCCGCCCUCUCUCACUAGAUGUACCAAAGGCUUGCAUCAGAUGUAACUCGACUAAGGCGGCGCCAAUGGGUUAGAAAAACCAAGUCAUGUAAAAAAUAUUAGUCACAAUAAACUUCGUUCAACAUCUAA
Nematostella vectensis (starlet sea anemone) is the source of this 1303-nucleotide long non-coding RNA. RefSeq lists it as uncharacterized. The record is from RefSeq and is a predicted model, not a curated record. The transcript has 3 exons. Lineage: Eukaryota; Metazoa; Cnidaria; Anthozoa; Actiniaria; Edwardsiidae.